CACACCGCCCGUCACACCAUGGGAGCUGACUCAACCAGAAGACGAUCAGGCUAACCUGCAAAGGGGCCUUCGGCGAAGGUGGGGUUGGUGACUGGGGUG
RNAcentral lists this ribosomal RNA (99 nucleotides) under uncultured bacterium. RNAcentral's name for it is "partial 16S ribosomal RNA". It matches the Rfam family "Bacterial small subunit ribosomal RNA", at positions 1386 to 1482 of the family's 1533-position model. The record is from RNAcentral.